RNAcentral lists this ribosomal RNA (497 nucleotides) under uncultured bacterium. Its description in RNAcentral is "partial 16S ribosomal RNA". It matches the Rfam family "Bacterial small subunit ribosomal RNA", at positions 28 to 507 of the family's 1533-position model. The record is from RNAcentral.
GAUGAACGCUGGCGGCGUGCCUAACACAUGCAAGUCGAGCGGACAGACGUGUUGCUUGUUCCUCUCACGUUAGCGGCGGACGGGUGAGUACCCUUUGGAUAACCUCCCUAUCUGACUGGGAUUACUUCUAGACCGCGGGGCUAAUACCGGAUAAUAUAUUGCACCGCAUGGUUCACUAGUGAAUGACUGUUUUGCUGUUACUUCUAGAUGGUUCCGAGCCGCAUUAGCUAGUUGGUAAGGUAACGGCUUACCAAGGCAACGAUGCGUAGCCGACCUGAGAGAGUGAUCGGCCACACUGGAACUGAAACACGAUCCAUACUCCUACGGGAAGCAGCAGUAGGCAACCAUACGCAACAGACGAAAGCAUUACGCAGCAACGCCGCAUGAGUUAUGAAAGUCUUCCGAUCGUAAAACACUGUUAUUAGGGAAGAACAAAUGUGUAAGUAACAAAACACGUAAUGACGGUACCUAAUCAAAAAGCAACGGCUAACUACGUG